CCCGGUGAGUAUUUAACGGCCGCAGUUAAGAGCUGUGCUAAGGUAGCGUAGUAAGUUGUCCUUUAAAUGGGGAAAGGAAUGAAUGGUUUGACGUGGGGAUAACUGUCUCCGAUGAAAAAGAAGAAAUUUUCUUUUCAGUGAAAAGCCUGAAAUAGAAUUAAAAGACGAGAAGACCCUGUCGAGCUUAAAUAGAAAUGGUAGUGGUAUUUUUUUAAAAUUUAGUUGGGGCAACUUAGGAGCAAAAUUAGACUCCUUGAAGGAAUAAAGAUCCAGAAGUUCUGAAUAGAGAAAAAGCUACCGCAGGGAUAACAGCGUUAUCUUUUCUGAGAGAACAAAUUGAAGAAAGG
Molecule: ribosomal RNA, 347 nt
Filed under: Melliteryx acupuncta
Lineage: Eukaryota; Metazoa; Mollusca; Bivalvia; Galeommatida; Lasaeidae
Description: partial 16S ribosomal RNA
Rfam family: Archaeal large subunit ribosomal RNA
Source: RNAcentral